GACGAACGCUGGCGGUGUGCUUAACACAUGCAAGUCGAACGGUAAGGCCCUUUCGGGGGUACACGAGUGGCGCACGGGUGAGUAACACGUGAGUAACCUGCCCUCAUCUCUGGGAUAACAGUCGGAAACGGUUGCUAAUACUGGAUAUGAGCUUGCAAGGCAUCUUGUGGGUUGGAAAGAUUUUUUUUGGUUGGGGAUGGACUCGCGGCCUAUCAGCUUGUUGGUGAGGUAGUGGCUCACCAAGGCUUCGACGGGUAGCCGGCCUGAGAGGGCGACCGGCCACAUUGGGACUGAGGUACGGCCCAAACUCCUACGGGAGGCAGCAGUGGGGAAUAUUGCACAAUGGACGGAAGUCUGAUGCAGCAACGCCGCGUGCGGGAUGACGGCCUUCGGGUUGUAAACCGCUUUCAAUUGUGACGAAGCUUUUUUGUGACGGUAGCAGUAGAAGAAGCACCGGCUAACUACGUG
This 468-nucleotide ribosomal RNA is filed under the name uncultured bacterium. RNAcentral's name for it is "partial 16S ribosomal RNA". It matches the Rfam family "Bacterial small subunit ribosomal RNA", at positions 28 to 507 of the family's 1533-position model. The record is from RNAcentral.